AGGGAGCGAGAGAGAGAGAGAGCUUUUUUUCCUACACUCCGACACGCCCAAUCCGAUACAUCCGAUCCGGCACGCCGAAACGUUGUUCUCCCUUACAUGGGAUUUUCGGCCAUGUCCGAAACAGAAACGGCACCGUUACAAUCCAUGCCUUCAAAACCCCACCCACCUCUCCACAACUUCUCUCUUCCAUUUCUAAAGUGGGGCGGCCAACGCCUCCUCCGCUGUAUGAAACCCGAUCAGGCCGUCGAUCGUAGAUCUCCUCCUUUCGAGUCCGAAUCCAACGGCUCCGGCGCUUCCCCCAUCAGAACUGUGGCCGCCCAGCCUAAAACCUUCCGCAAACCUUCUACCCCUACUUCCUUCGAGAAAUUACGGAGUAUGGCACGGAUCGGAGCUUCGAAGUCUGAAGGAGAAGCGGACGAUGAUGGAAUUGAAGAGAUUCGAGAGAGGCUCUUGGAUCAUCUCCGCUCAGCGGCGGAUAAGAUGAGUUUUCGGGUCCCGGAAGAUGAGGAAUCGACGGCGAUGCCGUGGAAUCUCAGGACGAGGAGAGCGGCUUGUAAGGCUCCGACGGAGAUCGGCGGGAUGCCUCUUCACUCGCCAGCUCCCCUGCCACCUCCGCCGCCAUCAGUGCAGGAGAAUCAGACGAGGUCGAUGCGGUCAAGAGCGGCGGCCACGGCCGCGGCGGCAGCAGCGCAGGGCGGAGAUAAGAUGAAGGAGAAGAGGAAGUUUUCGGUCGCGCUGUUGAGAGAGGAGAUUGAGGAGGAUUUCUACGCGAUGACAGGAUCGAAGCCAGCUCGGAGGCCGAAGAAGCGAUUGGGGAAGGUGCAGCGGCAAUUGGACGCGACUUUCCCUGGUUUAUGGCUGUCCGACAUAACGCCCGAUUCAUACAACGUUCCUGAAGUUCAUGAGUCUCGAAAGAGAUAAAUGCAAUUGCAACUUGGAUCUCUUGAAGCUACAUCAUUUUUCGCAGGCUAACUAAUACCUACCUCUAUGCUGUGACCUCAAUUGGAGAGGGAUGGAUUGGUUUGUUGCAUGGAAGGUUCAAAAAAAAAAGAAAAAAAGAAUCGAUUUGAGAUGGGUUUUCUGGAAAUUUUCAUAUGAAUUGAAUUUGGUGUAAAUGCAUGCAGCAGGCAUUGAGAAUAGUAAAGAUGAGCAGGGGAAUGAAUAUAAUUUAGAGGCUCGUCUUUGUUCGUUGUGAUGAACUGGCCUUGAUACAUUUCCACAGACCAUUGUAUGUGGUGGCUGUACAGUUGGUUAAUCCAGAUCAUCCACUUAGUCGGUCCUACCGCGAAUGGCCCGACGAUGGGAAGCCACACGGACCAGGCACUCGUAGCUGUAUGAUAUAUGGGCUUCAAAUCAACUGGAAAAAGGCUAAAGAAGGCCAAUGAUCCAUGGCAAUGACCAAUACCAAGGAAAUCAGAAAUCUCGUCAACAUGUGGAUUAUUCAUCUGUGAAAUUUUUGUUUUUUGUAUCAAACAAGAGAAAACAUUGCAUUAAGAGCCUUGCCUUUCUGUCUAGAA
RNA transcript from Magnolia sinica, 1517 nucleotides. RefSeq lists it as uncharacterized. The transcript has 4 exons. The record is from RefSeq and is a predicted model, not a curated record. Lineage: Eukaryota; Viridiplantae; Streptophyta; Magnoliopsida; Magnoliales; Magnoliaceae.